GCCUAAAAUCUAGCCCACAAAUUCACAUGCCCACCCGCUACCAAAACAACCAAAUAAAACAUUUUAACACCUUAGUACAGGCGAUCGAAAAACUUCUAAGCGCUUCAGAUAAAGUACCGCAAGGGAAAUAUGAAAUAGAAAUGAAAUAACCCUAAAGCCCCAAACAGCAGAGACAACACCUCG
RNAcentral lists this ribosomal RNA (183 nucleotides) under Rana zhenhaiensis. RNAcentral describes it as "partial 16S ribosomal RNA". Lineage: Eukaryota; Metazoa; Chordata; Amphibia; Anura; Ranidae. The record is from RNAcentral.